CCUACGGGGGGCUGCAGUCGAGAAUUUUUCACAAUGGGCGCAAGCCUGAUGGAGCGACGCCGCGUGGGGGAUGAAUGGCUUCGGCCCGUAAACCCCUGUCAUUUGCGAUCAAACCUUGCUAUUUAAAAGAUGGCGAGCUGAUAGUAGCGAAAGAGGAAGGGACGGCUAACUCUGUGCCAGCAGCCGCGGUAAUACAGAGGUGCCAAGCGUUGUUCGGAUGGGCUGGGAGUAGGGGGUGCGUGUCGGAUGUGAAAUCUCGGGGCUCAACUCCGAAAUGGCAUUGGAAACUACCCGGCUAGAGGGUCGGAGGGGGGACUGGAAUUCUCGGUGUAGCAGUGAAAUGCGUAGAUAUCGAGAGGAACACCAGUGGCGAAGGCGAGUCCCUGGACGACUCCUGACACUGAGGCACGAAAGCUAGGGGAGCAAACAGGAUUAGAUACCCCUGUAGUC
This 450-nucleotide ribosomal RNA is filed under the name uncultured bacterium. RNAcentral's name for it is "partial 16S ribosomal RNA". It matches the Rfam family "Bacterial small subunit ribosomal RNA", at positions 338 to 795 of the family's 1533-position model. The record is from RNAcentral.